Long non-coding RNA from Carlito syrichta (Philippine tarsier), 612 nucleotides. RefSeq lists it as uncharacterized. The record is from RefSeq and is a predicted model, not a curated record. The transcript has 3 exons. Lineage: Eukaryota; Metazoa; Chordata; Mammalia; Primates; Tarsiidae.
CACAGACAGACCCAUUUCAGACCACGGUGAGGACCAAGACAAGCGUACGGCAUUCCUUAUAGAAAGAAAAGACAGAACAGAAUUGGCAACUCCCUAUACAGUGGGAGCAAAGAGAGAAAAAAAAAGCCCUUCAGAUGCAUCCCAAAUAACAUGCUGUCUCACAACAUAAGGUCAUUUUCUCUGGAUUAACAUUUUGUCCUCUGUUGAGUAAAUCAACAGACAUCGAGUACCUUCCAUGGACCAAGCAUUGUUCUGAGGGUAUUUCCAGUCUGAUUUCUUCAUUUAUUUUUUCUAAAACCUCUUGUAAGAUUGGUAAUAUUCUUUUUUUUUUUUUUAAUGGAAAAACUGGGCUAAGAACUUGUGCUGAGUUAAAGUCUCAUAGAAAGAAGCAGAGGAGCUGACAUUGGUAGUUGGAGUCUUUAGCAAGUACUUCUCUGGGAACCAUCAACAUGAAACCUUAUCAUAUCCAUGAUUGGCACUUGGGAUGUGAAUUUGUGAACGUUCCUUCAUGAAAACUGCAUUGCAUAGUGGAGAGAGGGGACACCUAGCUAACCCUUAUUAAAUUAUGAGUAUGUUUGAGGUGCUUUUGCCAGAAUAAAGAAAGAAUGGUGA